AAGGUUUUUAAAAGUAGUUUGCCCAUCCACAGGGUAGUACCGUCAUAAAAAUACAUCUCGGUUAGAAUGUGAUAACUUUGGAAGAAGGCAUAUUAUUCAUUAUUCGACCCUAGGUAAUGGGAGUCGAUCGGAAGCUGUUCAUUAGGUCGUAAUGAAAUAAUUAUGCAUGGCGUCCUAUCCGUGUUCCUGUCUGCUUAUUGCCAACAAAGUAUUGGUAAAUAAUUUGCAUAAACUCAGUGUGCACCGUUCUGCUGGUUUUCUUUUUUCGAGGAACCCUCAGAAGAUCUACAUAUGCCCAUACAUCUUCUCAUUAACCAUAAUGACCUGACAUGCCUACUACUUCUGUAAUAAGUCAACUUUGUUUUUCUGACUUUUUUUGGAGGCAUGGCAACUUCACAUCAGAUCGAUGCAAGGUCAAAUACCUUUUGAAAUUCAACUUGUUGUUGAACCUUUUUUGAAAUUUUACGUAUCUGUACAUUCGCAUUGGCAAAUAAUCCGUGGUACCUA
Drosophila yakuba is the source of this 507-nucleotide long non-coding RNA. RefSeq lists it as uncharacterized. The record is from RefSeq and is a predicted model, not a curated record. The transcript has 2 exons. NCBI's taxonomy places the organism in Eukaryota, Metazoa, Arthropoda, Insecta, Diptera, Drosophilidae.